CCUACGGGAGGCAGCAGUGAGGAAUAUUGGUCAAUGGACGCAAGCCUGAACCAGCCAUGCCGCGUGCAGGAAGACGGCUCUAUGAGUUGUAAACUGCUUUUGUACGAGGGUAAACGCAGAUACGCGUAUCUGUCUGAAAGUAUCGGACGAAUAAGGAUCGGCGAACUCCGUGCCAGCAGCAGCGGUAAUACGGAGGAGUCAAGCGUUAUCCGGAUUUAUUGGGUUUAAAGGGUGCGUAGGCGGUCGGAUAAGUUAGAGGUGAAAUCCCGAGGCUCAACUACGGAAUUGCCUUGGAUACUGUUCGGCUAGAGAGUAGUUGCGGUAGGCGGAAUGUAUGGUGUAGCGGUGAAAUGCUUAGAGAUCAUACAGAACACCGAUUGCGAAGGCAGCUUACCAAGCUACUUCUGACGUUGAGGCACGAAAGCGUGGGGAGCAAACAGGAUUAGAUACCCCUGUAGUC
RNAcentral lists this ribosomal RNA (460 nucleotides) under uncultured bacterium. RNAcentral describes it as "partial 16S ribosomal RNA". It matches the Rfam family "Bacterial small subunit ribosomal RNA", at positions 338 to 795 of the family's 1533-position model. The record is from RNAcentral.